GCCAGACUCCUACGGGAGGCAGCAGUGGGGAACAUUGCACAAUGGGGGAAACCCUGAUGCAGCAACGCCGCGUGAGUGAAGAAGUAUUUCGGUAUGUAAAGCUCUAUCAGCAGGGAAGAAGAUGACGGUACCUGAAUAAGAAGCCCCGGCUAACUACGUGCCAGCAGCCGCGGUAAUACGUAGGGGGCAAGCGUUAUCCGGAUUUACUGGGCGUAAAGGGAGCGCAGACGGCAGUGCAAGUCUGGAGUGAAAGCCCGGGGCCCAACCCCGGAACUGCUCUGGAAACUGUGCGGCUAGAGUACUGGAGGGGCAGGCGGAAUUCCUAGUGUAGCGGUGAAAUGCGUAGAUAUUAGGAGGAACACCAGUGGCGAAGGCGGCCUGCUGGACAGUAACUGACGUUGAGGCUCGAAAGCGUGGGGAGCAAACAGGAUUAGAUACCCCUGUAA
RNAcentral lists this ribosomal RNA (446 nucleotides) under uncultured bacterium. Its description in RNAcentral is "bacterial SSU rRNA". It matches the Rfam family "Bacterial small subunit ribosomal RNA", at positions 330 to 793 of the family's 1533-position model. The record is from RNAcentral.